RNAcentral lists this ribosomal RNA (372 nucleotides) under uncultured bacterium. RNAcentral's name for it is "bacterial SSU rRNA". It matches the Rfam family "Bacterial small subunit ribosomal RNA", at positions 417 to 806 of the family's 1533-position model. The record is from RNAcentral.
UUAGGGUUGUAAAGCUCUUUCAGCUGGGAAGAUAAUGACGGUACCAGCAGAAGAAGCCCCGGCUAACUCCGUGCCAGCAGCCGCGGUAAUACGGAGGGGGCUAGCGUUGUUCGGAAUUACUGGGCGUAAAGCGCACGUAGGCGGACCGGAAAGUUGGAGGUGAAAUCCCAGGGCUCAACCUUGGAACUGCCUUCAAAACUAUCGGUCUGGAGUUCGAGAGAGGUGAGUGGAAUUCCGAGUGUAGAGGUGAAAUUCGUAGAUAUUCGGAGGAACACCAGUGGCGAAGGCGGAUCUCUGGGCCGAUACUGACGCUGAGGUGCGAAAGCGUGGGGAGCAAACAGGAUUANAUACCCUGGUAGUCCAAGGGCGAAU